CAGUAGCCGCGGGAAUACCGAGGGUGCAAGCGUUAAUCGGAAUUACUGGGCGUAAAGCGCGCGUAGGUGGUUCGCCAAGUUGGAUGUGAAACCCCCGGGCUCGACCUGGGAACUGCAUCCAAAACUGGCGAGCUAGAGUAUGGUAGAGGGUGGUGGAAUUUCCUGUGUAGCGGUGAAAUGCGUAGAUAUAGGAAGGAACAUCAGUGGCGAAGGCGACCACCUGGACUGAUACUGACACUGAGGUGCGAAAGCGUGGGGAGCAAACAGGAUUAGAUACCCCUGUAGUCCCUGUCUCUUAUAU
This 301-nucleotide ribosomal RNA is filed under the name uncultured bacterium. Its description in RNAcentral is "partial 16S ribosomal RNA". It matches the Rfam family "Bacterial small subunit ribosomal RNA", at positions 509 to 809 of the family's 1533-position model. The record is from RNAcentral.